This 505-nucleotide transfer RNA is filed under the name Drouetiella sp. ANT.L52.2. Its description in RNAcentral is "partial 16S-23S ribosomal RNA intergenic spacer". The stretch from base 234 to 306 matches the Rfam family "tRNA". Lineage: Bacteria; Bacillati; Cyanobacteriota; Cyanophyceae; Oculatellales; Oculatellaceae. The record is from RNAcentral.
UAGGGAGACCUACCUGCUCUAUAUUUGAAAGCAAUCAGCGAUUAGGAUAAGAGUUGGUCAUCCCAAGGUCGUUCAGGUUAGAAGUGUUGACUUUCAAACUAUUAUGGUUUGGUUCGUGGGCUAUUAGCUCAGGUGGUUAGAGCGCACCCCUGAUAAGGGUGAGGUCCCUGGUUCGAAUCCAGGAUGGCCCACCUUCACCUUAAUUUCUGUCAUUUUGGCGGGAAAGACAUUGAGGGGGUUUAGCUCAGUUGGUAGAGCGCCUGCUUUGCAAGCAGGAUGUCAACGGUUCGAGUCCGUUAACCUCCACUGGUUUUGUUUUAGCGCAUGGGAAAGUUAAAGUGCUUCAGCAACUUAUCUUGUGAGAGCAGGAGAGCCUGCUGUGACAUUUUGUCCAGCCAGAACCUUGAAAACUGCAUAGUAAUUUGUCAGGUAGGAGCUGAUUAGUUUAAGGACUAGUUAGCAAGUAUCACAGACACCAAUGUGGAUUGAUGUGCUACAUCAAGUG